This is a long non-coding RNA of Herpailurus yagouaroundi (jaguarundi), 390 nucleotides long. RefSeq lists it as uncharacterized. The record is from RefSeq and is a predicted model, not a curated record. NCBI's taxonomy places the organism in Eukaryota, Metazoa, Chordata, Mammalia, Carnivora, Felidae. The transcript has 2 exons.
CCUCUCUCUUGCCUCCCUCACACCAGCCACGAAGGUUUUCAAAGUAAUAUGUGGCCCAGUCUGGCUAAUGAAAUAUAAAAUAUACUGGAAAGCUUUUGGGGAAAUCUCCUCCAUGAAAACAAGAACCUUUGUGAAGAAAAAAUGCGCAGUCCCAUGAUUUGCUUGCCCUUGGACCCCCCUCUCCCACUGCAGUCUUGCCUCUGAAUGUACCUGCUUCAAGUAUGUGAUACUUGGGACGGUUGCAGGCCACGGGGCAGUCAUGAGAUCACACGAAUCUUUGAAAUGCUAAUGCUGAGCGCUAAUAUCACUGGCCACUAAAUCAACAUUAGUAGCCAUUAUGUAUUUGCAGACUUCUUGUUAUUGCAGAACAAUAAACAGCUGAAUGGAGGC